This 100-nucleotide ribosomal RNA is filed under the name Enterobacter hormaechei. Lineage: Bacteria; Pseudomonadati; Pseudomonadota; Gammaproteobacteria; Enterobacterales; Enterobacteriaceae. The record is from RNAcentral.
CGGUGGUCCCACCUGACCCCAUGCCGAACUCAGAAGUGAAACGCCGUAGCGCCGAUGGUAGUGUGGGGUUUCCCCAUGUGAGAGUAGGGAACUGCCAGAC